AACGAACGCUGGCGGCAUGCCUAACACAUGCAAGUCGAACGGGAUCCUAGCUUGCUAGGUGAGAGUGGCGGACGGGUGAGUAACACGUGGGAAUCUGCCUUUUGGUUCGGGAUAACCGCGGAAACUGCGGCUAAUACUGAAUGCCCUCGAGAGAGGAAAGAUUUAUCGCCAGAAGAGGAGCCCGCGUCCGAUUAGGUAGUUGGUGGGGUAAAGGCCUACCAAGCCGACGAUCGGUAGCUGGUCUGAGAGGAUGAUCAGCCACACUGGGACUGAGAUACGGCCCAGACUCCUACGGGAGGCAGCAGUGGGGAAUAUUGGACAAGUGGGGCAACCCGUGAUCCAGCAAUGCCGCGUGAGUGAUGAA
RNAcentral lists this ribosomal RNA (364 nucleotides) under uncultured bacterium. RNAcentral describes it as "bacterial SSU rRNA". It matches the Rfam family "Bacterial small subunit ribosomal RNA", at positions 29 to 412 of the family's 1533-position model. The record is from RNAcentral.